CUACGGGAGGCACCAGUGGGGAAUAUUGCACAAUGGGGGAAACCCUGAUGCAGCAACGCCGCGUGGAGGAUGACGCAUUUCGGUGUGUAAACUCCUUUUAUAUAGGAAGAUAAUGAUGGUACUAUAUGAAUAAGCACCGGCUAACUCCGUGCCAGCAGCCGCGGUAAUACGGAGGGUGCAAGCGUUACUCGGAAUCACUGGGCGUAAAGCGCGCGCAGGCGGCCCCUUAAGUUGGAUGUGAAAGCCUACGGCUUAACCGUAGAACUGCAUCCAAAACUGAGGGGCUAGAGUCUGGGAGGGGAAGAUGGAAUUAGUUGUGUAGGGGUAAAAUCCGUAGAGAUAACUAGGAAUACCAAAAGCGAAGGCGAUCUUCUGGAACAGUACUGACGCUGAGGCGCGAAAGCGUGGGGAGCAAACAGGAUUAGAUACCCUAGUAGUC
RNAcentral lists this ribosomal RNA (439 nucleotides) under uncultured bacterium. RNAcentral describes it as "partial 16S ribosomal RNA". It matches the Rfam family "Bacterial small subunit ribosomal RNA", at positions 339 to 795 of the family's 1533-position model. The record is from RNAcentral.